GUAGGUGGCAAGCGUUGUCCGGGAAUUAUUGGGGCGUAAAGCGCGCGCAGGCGGUUCUUUAAGUCUGAUGUGAAAGCCCACGGGCUCAACCGUGGAGGGUCAUUGGAAACUGGAGAUCUUGAGUACAGAAGAGGAAAGCGGAAUUCCACGUGUAGCGGUGAAAUGCGUAGAGAUGUGGAGGAACACCAGUGGCGAAGGCGGCUUUCUGGUCUGUAACUGACGCUGAGGCGCGAAAGCGUGGGGAGCAAACAGGAUUAGAUACCCUGGUAGUCCACGCCGUAAACGAUGAGUGCUAAGUGUUAGGGGGUUUCCGCCCCUUAGUGCUGCAGCUAACGCAUUAAGCACUCCGCCUGGGGAGUACGGCCGCAAAGGCUG
RNAcentral lists this ribosomal RNA (375 nucleotides) under uncultured organism. RNAcentral's name for it is "partial 16S ribosomal RNA". It matches the Rfam family "Bacterial small subunit ribosomal RNA", at positions 527 to 896 of the family's 1533-position model. The record is from RNAcentral.